GAUGAACGCUGGCGGCGUGCCUAAUACAUGCAAGUCGAGCGCACAGACGAGGAGCUUGCUCCUUUGACGUUAGCGGCGGACGGGUGAGUAACACGUGGGUAACCUACCUAUAAGACUGGGAUAACUUCGGGAAACCGGAGCUAAUACCGGAUAAUAUUUCGAACCGCAUGGUUCGAUAGUGAAAGAUGGCUCUGCUAUCACUUAUAGAUGGACCUGCGCCGUAUUAGCUAGUUGGUAAGGUAACGGCUUACCAAGGCAACGAUACGUAGCCGACCUGAGAGGGUGAUCGGCCACACUGGAACUGAGACACGGUCCAGACUCCUACGGGAGGCAGCAGUAGGGAAUCUCCCGCAAAGGGCGAAAGCCUGACGGAGCAACGCCGCGUGAGUGAUGCAGGUCUUCGGAUCGUAAAACUCUGUUAUUAGGGAAGAACAAACGUGUAAGUAACUGUGCACGUCUUGACGGUACCUAAUCAGAAAGCCACGGCUAACUACGUG
RNAcentral lists this ribosomal RNA (497 nucleotides) under uncultured bacterium. RNAcentral's name for it is "partial 16S ribosomal RNA". It matches the Rfam family "Bacterial small subunit ribosomal RNA", at positions 28 to 507 of the family's 1533-position model. The record is from RNAcentral.